UGAUAACUAACAAAUAAAGAAUCUUCUCUCUUCAGGAAAAGCUCUCAUAAUCUUCUCUUUGAUUCAAAAGCUCUUAAUUGAAGGUAUGCUUAUCCAAGUUUUUAAAUUUAAUUUUGAUUACUGCUGCUAUUCCCAAAUUUAAUUUUGGCUAAAAGAUAUACAAAUUUCUUAACAAAAAAUAUCAAAUAGCCGGAAUAUUUGAUUCUAAGUCAGUAAUGGUUGUUGUGAUGUUAUCUUAGGCUCUUUUUUAAUUAAAUUAAAGUUCUUCAAGAAUUAAAUGUGCUUAGUUCCUCUCCAAUCAGUAAUUUGGCAGGGCUACAGACUUUAAUCUACAGACUAUCAAACGUAUUCAGAAACUGGAAUUUUCUGAAUUUUGAUCUUGCAUUGAGUUUUGCGAGUGUCCUGUUAUUGUGUUUUAAUCUACAGACUAUCAAACAUAUUCAGAAACUGGAAUUUUCUGAAUUUUGAUCUUGCAUUGAGUUUUGCGAGUGUCCUGUUAUUGUGUUAGUAUAACACAAUCAAACAUAUUCAGGUUUUGGCUACAGACUUUAAUCUACAGAAGUAGGCUUAAAAAGUGACUGGAGGAUAUGUGCUCUUAACAAACUGGAAUCUCUUAAAAAGCUGAAAUCUCAAGUAAUGUACUUGAGAAAUUUAUUCAAAUUCUAAUUGAUCAAUUGCAAUAUUUUAACUCAAUGGGAACUAAUUUGUAAUAUUCUCAAGUAAUUGUAUUUUCCAAUUACCCUCCAUCUUCUCAAUGGAUAACUAGAACUACCAUAAGAUAUAUAGUAUUUCUUAUUUUUUUUCUUUAAAAGAUGUGAUAAAAACAUUUAAAUCAUACAAAUACUGUAACAGAUAACAAUUUCACUUCUUAUAUCUGGUUUUUACUUUUCGGAACUUAAUAUGUAUGAACAACAAUGUCCAUAUCUAAUACACUUACUCGGGUUUGUAGAGGAGAUCCAAUAAUGAAAAUAAGUUCUUAGGCGCAACCCUACAAUGGUCGUUUAGCUACUCAAUGCAUGUGCUCAGUCUGCCUUUUCAUCACCAACAGUCCAAUAUAAAUUGGGAAAAGCUGAGUUAAAUGGAAAUUUGAAUUACAUAUUGUGAGAGAAAAGAAACAGCAAACCAGCCAAAAACCUUUGAAUGCAUUGCUGCUUUGUUCUGAAGCAAGGAGUGAAGUGAGCUAAUCUCUUCUUCUUUGGAUCAAGUUCAAUUCUGUGGUCUCCAGUACAGGUAAACACUCUAAAUUUCCAUCUACUUUUUGAGUUUUUGGUUUUAAGUAAUCUCUUUCUUUCUUGAUAAGUGUACUUGAUUGAAUUGAUUUUUUUUUUUUUUUUGUUGCUGGGGUUACCUGUAAAUAAUAUUACUUGGAUAUGCUGAAUUAUUGAUCCAUUCCUAUUUAUGCAGUGAGCAACUCGUGAUAUAUAUCACUGCUUCAAAGGACUCCUCUUUGGAUGGUUCUAAGUGGAUCACAAAAGCAGAUUCUGAGGUAUGUAGUGCCUGCUACAGAUGUAUGUGGUUUGUGUUUUAUUCUUUAUUUUUGUAGUAGUAAUUGUGUCACUACUACAGAAAA
RNAcentral lists this long non-coding RNA (1570 nucleotides) under Aquilegia coerulea. Its description in RNAcentral is "long non-coding RNA (ACOE_LNC001925)". The record is from RNAcentral. Lineage: Eukaryota; Viridiplantae; Streptophyta; Magnoliopsida; Ranunculales; Ranunculaceae.